This 253-nucleotide ribosomal RNA is filed under the name uncultured bacterium. RNAcentral's name for it is "partial 16S ribosomal RNA". It matches the Rfam family "Bacterial small subunit ribosomal RNA", at positions 524 to 776 of the family's 1533-position model. The record is from RNAcentral.
UACGUAGGGUGCAAGCGUUGUCCGGCAUUAUUGGGCGUAAAGCGCUCGUAGGCGGUCUGUUGCGUCGGCUGUGAAAACCCGGGGCUCAACUCCGGGCCUGCAGCCGAUACGGGCAGACUAGAGUUCGGCAGGGGAGACUGGAAUUCCUGGUGUAGCGGUGAAAUGCGCAGAUAUCAGGAGGAACACCGGUGGCGAAGGCGGUUCUCUGGGCAUUACCUGACGCUGAGGAGCGAAAGUGUGGGGAGCGAACAGG